GGUGCGCAGAGGCCGGGUCCCAGCUCCCCUGCCCUGGGGUAGGCUGCAGGAAAGGACCCCUGUGAGAUACAGCAGGUCCCUCCACGCCGUCCCCAAAAGUACGAGAUCCUGCUUUUUCACCGCUGCAUACUAUUCCACGGCGUAGAUGUACCACAGCUUUUUUUAUCCGCUCGUCUACAGAUGGGCACGUCCGUUUCCUGUCCCCGGAACCCAUCCAGGGCCCCGCAGAACAGCCGAUCCUCACGUCAUCUCGGCUGUGAAAGCGUCUCAGGCUCUCUUGGUUUCCCGUCACCUGCAGAGUUUGGAAAAGGGCUGCUCGGGGAUUGGGUAGAACGUUCCUCAGCUGGGAUUUGUCCGAUGCUUCUCUCCUGUUUAGACCGGGGCUGUAGGUGUUUGGAAGAAACAAAGACGGUGCAGGUUGUCUCAACGGACGGACGCGUGGUUCUCCUCGGACAGACGGAUCCGCCUGUCUCUGGUGACGGUCAUCGCCCCACAGUGGCUUUCGUCGCCCGGGUCUUUCGAUUUCCUGGGUCCCUUCUCGCCGGCCUCUUCCCAGCGUCCAGAUGCCCGGGACAGUGGAAGGGAGACAGAGAGAGAGAGAAACACGGAUGUGACAGAGACACGGACACGUUGCCUCCCGCCCAGGCCCUGGCCUGGGGCUGGGGAAGAUCCAGUCUGCAACCCACGUAGAUGCCCUUGGCUGGAAUCGAACCCGGGACCCUUCAGUCCACGGGCCGACGCUCUAACCACUGAGCCAAACCGGCCAGGACGCUCAUCAUUUUUUUAUUUUUAUUUUUUAACUCAGGUUUUCUGUUCAACAGCCGUCAUGACUCGUUGGCAGUGAUCGGGCCUGCAGCAGUUUUCUUAAAAUAUUAAAGACAGAGAGGAUUUUCCCCUCUAUGUUUCAUCGCUUUCUUUGUUUUUGGUGGAUUUUAAGGACGGACAAAGUGGCCAUGCUUCUCCCGGGGACGGCGUCUUUGAAACCGAGAUCCUCUGGAUCGUGACAAACGUGCGAACUUCAAAAUAAACGCAGACAGCGGCGGCGACUGUCCUUCCUGAUGGCUCUGAAGUAUCCUCGGAGCGAAUAAUCGACUAAAGAUUAAUAGACGUUCUGCCCAGAUUCCUUCGCUCUGCCUCUCUGGACGUCUCUAGGCAAGUAUUUCCUUUCCCUCGCAUGAAAGGGGAUGGUAUCCAGCAGUUCAAGGUUGUCUGUAGAUAUUUGUCGCUGUUCGGAAAAAAAUAUCUAGAGUAUUGAGACCUUCAGUCGAUUGGAAGGUGACCUUGGGCCCCUGGGAAACCAGACUUGGCCAUUGACUCAGUCGAUGAGAAAGGAGUGAGGGGCCAGAGGGUCUGGCCAAAGGUCCAGAUGACAUGAGGAAAUAUGAGUGUGACCAGGCUCAGAAAGUUAAGCCUUAAACGUGCAUAUCAAGUAGACAGCAUUUUUAAAUAAUAUCUUUUUAUUGAUUUGAGA
Molecule: non-coding RNA, 1471 nt
Organism: Miniopterus natalensis
Lineage: Eukaryota; Metazoa; Chordata; Mammalia; Chiroptera; Miniopteridae
Source: RefSeq, a predicted model, not a curated record